GCCUCUUUUGUACAGUAGGUAGUACGUCAGUCUCAUAAUCUGAAGGUCGUGAGUUCAAACCUCACACGAGGCA
Molecule: non-coding RNA, 73 nt
Organism: Nerophis lumbriciformis (worm pipefish)
Lineage: Eukaryota; Metazoa; Chordata; Actinopteri; Syngnathiformes; Syngnathidae
Source: the annotation of a RefSeq genome assembly